This 253-nucleotide ribosomal RNA is filed under the name uncultured bacterium. Its description in RNAcentral is "partial 16S ribosomal RNA". It matches the Rfam family "Bacterial small subunit ribosomal RNA", at positions 524 to 776 of the family's 1533-position model. The record is from RNAcentral.
UACGUAGGGUGCGAGCGUUAAUCGGAAUUACUGGGCGUAAAGCGCUCGCAGGCGGUUUCUUAAGUCUGAUGUGAAAGCCCACGGCUCAACCGUGGAGGGUCAUUGGAAACUGGGAGACUUGAGUGCAGAAGAGGAGAGUGGAAUUCCACGUGUAGCGGUGAAAUGCGUAGAGAUGUGGAGGAACACCAGUGGCGAAGGCGACUCUCUGGUCUGUAACUGACGCUGAGGAGCGAAAGCGUGGGGAGCAAACAGG